RNAcentral lists this ribosomal RNA (270 nucleotides) under uncultured archaeon. RNAcentral describes it as "partial 16S ribosomal RNA". It matches the Rfam family "Archaeal small subunit ribosomal RNA", at positions 477 to 747 of the family's 1478-position model. The record is from RNAcentral.
CAGCUCUUCAAGUGGUCGGGAAUAUUAUUGGGCUUAAAGUGUCCGUAGCCGGUUUGAUAAGUUCCUGGUUAAAUCUGGCAGCUUAACUGUCAGUUGGAUAGGAAUACUAUCUUACUAGAGGGUGGGAAAGGUCUGGGGUACUCCAGGGGUAGCGGUGAAAUGCUAUAAUCCUUGGGGGACCACCAGUGGCGAAGGCGCCAGACUGGAACACGCCUGACGGUGAGGGACGAAAGCCAGGGGAGCGAACGGGAUUAGAUACCCCAGUAGUCC